Long non-coding RNA from Taeniopygia guttata (zebra finch), 1654 nucleotides. Lineage: Eukaryota; Metazoa; Chordata; Aves; Passeriformes; Estrildidae. The record is from Ensembl.
UUUUUUUUUUUUUUGUAUUUUUAAUCAACAUUAAAAGAAAAACUACUAGCCAAGAGCUGUGGUCAAGAGCUACCUGUUGUCACCACAUUCUAAUAAUAUUUUUUUUUUUAAGUCUGUGGAGGUUGCAUGUAAUUUUCUUACUGGUUUUGCUUUGCUGGUGUGCUGCUUUUAGUUUUGUUGCUUUCAUUAACUGUGUUUCUUCUUUCACUGUCUUGCAGGGUGAUGUGCUCUGGCAUUUUAAAGAAUGAAGUGAAGUAGGAUGAUGCUCCACUGACAAAAGAAGUGGGAAUGCAGGACUGCUAGAUCAUCUUGCAGUGUGAAUGGUGAGAUGAUCAGCCCAAAGUUCAGUAUGUCUUGCAGAGCAUUAAAUGUAAAGCUUUUAUGGAUUUGUUCCAAUACCAGCUGAAAAUAGAGGAAAAAUCUCUCCAGGAUUUUGGAAGGUCUUGUUAUUAAAGGCUAUGAAUUUGCAUCUCCUUAUCACUGGCUGGAUUUGCACCCCUCUCCUGAUGCCCCUAUUUUAUACUUAAUGGAAAGAAUGUAGAGAAACACAGAAAUGCCCUUCCUGACCUGUGGUAGACACUGCUGCCUAAGAGCAGUGACAGCAACAUACGGGGCCAGGCAGGGAGAGAUUUUGCUAAUUCUAAGGGAAAACCUGUUCUUGCUGUAGCAGUCACUUCUCCAGGGAGAUGAAAUCACAAGGUCUGGACUGAAGACUGAAAAAAAAUUUGCAACUUCCCUCUGUUCCUUCCUGCUGUUUUUAUUUCUGAAUUGUGUGCAUCCUGCUGUAACACAUGUCAAUGUGUGAAUAUUUCAUAUGCCAUGUUUCACCUAGAAAUGUGCUUUUCUCACAAGUAACUGGAUGUGACCUAAGCAUUAUAUUUGGUUACAUAUUAAGACCACUAUCAGGAAGGAACUGAAGCAAACAUGAGACAAAACAAGCAACAGGCUUAUAGCCUGACCUGCAGUGAGAUCCUGGCUUGCAGAGAAGUGACUGCUGCAGGUAUUGAAGUCAUUCUUCAUGGGUGUGAUCCCUCCCAAGUGGUGGGGCAGUAUUUCUCUGCCAUCCUCCUGGCUCAGAACAUCUGCUACCCCUCCAGGUGCAAGAACCUGUCCUCAGUACCUUUGUAAUGGUGCUGCCCUGUGGGUGCAGCAGGCACAGAUUUGCAGGUUAAUAAUUUAGCAUGAUGGUUUUUUGGGAGUGGUUAUGAAAGAUGCUAAAUAUGGAGCGAGUCAAGGGAUGAAGUCCCUUUCCCUGUGGUAGGCAUAGCAUAGGAUGCUGCCAUGAACACAUGAAAGACAUUUAUUAUUCAAAGGAACUUCCUUACUGACCAUAGUUGAGAUUUAUGUGUAGCAGCUAUUACAAUUUGUGGUAUCUGAAUAACACGUUCAGGUUAUACUGUUGGUUCAAAACAUCAGAUUUGCUGGCAGAAUGAGCUCUAAGUUUUCUUUAUAUCUGUAGAGGAGCAGGUAUGAGGAGUGUACCUACUCAGGAAUGAGAUACACCACAACUUUGCCUCUUUUUGUGUGUGUGUGUGUGUUUUUUUUUUCUUUUGUGGUUUUUGUUUGUUUUUGGUUUUUGUGAGCUGCUGCCUCAGACUGGAACCAGGGAAAACAGAGAUAUAUCCUGUAACAACCUGCUCAUUACUUUCUGAGG